This is a long non-coding RNA of Rosa chinensis, 844 nucleotides long. RefSeq lists it as uncharacterized. Lineage: Eukaryota; Viridiplantae; Streptophyta; Magnoliopsida; Rosales; Rosaceae. The transcript is spliced from 2 exons. The record is from RefSeq and is a predicted model, not a curated record.
UCAGCUUAUACCAUAUUUUUCCCUCAGCUCUCUCAUCUGUUUCAAAAUCAAACCUCAUCCUCUCUCUCUCUCUCUCUCUCUCUCAUUUGAAUUCAACUCGGUACUCGGUCUCGCCGGAUAACGGAGAGCUCUUCCUAGGCUUCUCGCCGCAGUGCCUCACCAAGGGAUCGCCGGAGUUCAUCAUGGUACCGGUCGAUUCGGCGUCCUCUAUCAGUCCUUCGCCUAUCGAGCCUCGCAGAAGCAGUGAGUCUCCGACGACGAUUCCGAUUGCAUCAAGAUUAAGGUAGAUUUGGCGGCGAGUAUCAUACGAUGAUUCCGAUUGCUGGUGCGAUUGGCGUGAAGCUCAAAGCAGGAGCGACUCAAACACAUUCCUUUACAGCUGAUCCGUCGUUGUCUACACUACACUAACCACGAAAUCACAUCUUUCUUCACUGGCAAAAUCACUUACUCGAGAUUACUAAUUCCAGAGAUCAAAGCUUUGUUUCCAGCGAUUCCAAAUCCUACUAUGAAUUAUUUCCCUUUGCAUUUGUAGUAGUAGUUUUCGAAAAUCAUGUAAAUUUGGAUAUUGAAGCCUCCAUUAACCAAGAGAUCAUUCGGCCAAGCACAUGUUGAAAUGAGGUCUCCUGUUGUAGGUGACAAAAUCAUGCUUACGGGUUUAGAGUGUCACCAUUGAAAAAUGACAAUAGCGUUACAACAUUGACAGUAGCUUUAUUCAAAUAUUGUAAUAAAUUUUCACAACUAUGGUAGUGGCUUUUUAUAACUAUGGAAGUAGGUUUUUACAUAGCUAUGUCAUUGUUGAAUCCUACAUACUUUUUGUAUCAUUGAAUAUGUUUUCUUUUCUCAA